RNAcentral lists this ribosomal RNA (253 nucleotides) under uncultured bacterium. Its description in RNAcentral is "partial 16S ribosomal RNA". It matches the Rfam family "Bacterial small subunit ribosomal RNA", at positions 524 to 776 of the family's 1533-position model. The record is from RNAcentral.
UACGGAGGGCGCAAGCGUUGUUCGGAAUCAUUGGGCGUAAAGCGCGUGUAGGUGGCUUGGCAAGUUGGGUGUGAAAGCCCGGGGCCCAACCCCGGAAUUGCAUUCAAAACUGCCUGGCUGGAGUCCCGGAGAGGAAGGCGGAAUUCCCGGUGUAGAGGUGAAAUUCGUAGAUAUCGGGAGGAACACCAGUGGCGAAGGCGGCCUUCUGGACGGUGACUGACACUGAUACGCGAAAGCGUGGGGAGCAAACAGG